Molecule: ribosomal RNA, 119 nt
Filed under: Vigna angularis (adzuki bean)
Lineage: Eukaryota; Viridiplantae; Streptophyta; Magnoliopsida; Fabales; Fabaceae
Source: RNAcentral
AGGUGCGAUCAUACCAGCACUAAUGCACCGGAUCCCAUUAGAACUCCGCAGUUAAGCGUGCUUGGGCGAGAGUAGUACUAGGAUGGGUGACCUCCUGGGAAGUCCUCGUGUUGCAUUGU